CCUACGGGUGGCAGCAGUGAGGAAUAUUGGUCAAUGGGCUUACGCCUGAACCAGCCAAGUCGCGUGAGGGAAGACUGCCCUCUGGGUUGUAAACCUCUUUUGUCAGGGAGCAAUUGGCGCUACGUGUAGCGUUAUCGAGAGUACCUGAAGAAAAAGCAUCGGCUAACUCCGUGCCAGCAGCCGCGGUAAGCCGGGGGAUGCGAGCGUUAUCCGGUUUUAUGGGGUUAAAGUGGGGCGUAGGCGGAGUGCCAAGUCAGCGGUAAAACCGCGGGGCUCAACCUCGCUCCGCCGUUGAAACUGGCGGUCUUGAGUGGGCGAGAGGUAUGCGGAAUGCGUGGUGUAGCGGUGAAAUGCAUAGAUAUCACGCAGAACUCCGAUUGCGAAGGCAGCAUACCGGCGCGCAACUGACGCUGAGGCACGAAAGCGUGGGUAUCGAACAGGAUUAGAUACCCGUGUAGUC
This 460-nucleotide ribosomal RNA is filed under the name uncultured bacterium. RNAcentral describes it as "partial 16S ribosomal RNA". It matches the Rfam family "Bacterial small subunit ribosomal RNA", at positions 338 to 795 of the family's 1533-position model. The record is from RNAcentral.